Molecule: ribosomal RNA, 467 nt
Filed under: uncultured bacterium
Lineage: Bacteria
Description: partial 16S ribosomal RNA
Rfam family: Bacterial small subunit ribosomal RNA
Source: RNAcentral
GACGAACGCUGGCGGCGUGCUUAACACAUGCAAGUCGAACGGAAAGGCCUCUUUCGGGGGGUACUCGAGUGGCGAACGGGUGAGUAACACGUGAGUAACCUGCCCUUGACUUUGGGAUAACUUCAGGAAACUGGGGCUAAUACCGGAUAGGAGCUCCUGCUGCAUGGUGGGGGUUGGAAAGUUUCGGCGGUUGGGGAUGGACUCGCGGCUUAUCAGCUUGUUGGUGGGGUAGUGGCUUACCCAGGCUUUGACGGGUAGCCGGCCUGAGAGGGUGACCGGCCACAUUGGGACUGAGAUACGGCCCAGACUCCUACGGGAGGCAGCAGUGGGGAAUAUUGCACAAUGGGUGGAAGCCUGAUGCAGCAACGCCGUGUGCGGGAUGACGGCCUUCGGGUUGGAAACCGCUUUCGCUCAUGACGAAGCUUUGUGUGACGGUAGUGGGUAAAGAAGCACCGGCUAACUACGUG